Colletotrichum salicis is the source of this 294-nucleotide small RNA. It matches the Rfam family "5' ureB small RNA". Lineage: Eukaryota; Fungi; Ascomycota; Sordariomycetes; Glomerellales; Glomerellaceae. The record is from Rfam.
CGUUUGCCUGUUGUGGACAGAUGAAGUGGAUAUGAGUAUCAAUGCCGCCGGCAGUGAUAAUCUUGCCCUCGCCAGCGACGACAUCCGUACAGCUGCCGACAACCAUGUUCGGUGUCACGCCGUCCAUGACGUCUGGGUUACCCGCCUUUCCAAUACCCACAAUCAUACCGUCCUUUACACCAAUGUCGGCCUUGUAGAUGCCCGUCCAGUCAACAAUGAGGGCAUUGGUGACGACCAUAUCCAGAGACUCCGAGUCCGGACGGCCCGUUGCCUGGCCCAUACCUUCUCUCAACG